ACGAACGCUGGCGGCAGGCCUAAAGCAUGCAAGUCGAGCGCUCUUAGCAAUAAGAGAGCGGCGCACGGGUGAGUAACACGUGGGAAUGUGCCUUUUGGUACGGAACAACGUCUGGAAACGGACGCUAAUACCGUAUGGUCCCUUCGGGGUAAAGAUUUAUCGCCAAAAGAGCAGCCCGCGUCUGAUUAGCUAGUUGGUGAGGUAAUGGCUCACCAAGGCGACGAUCAGUAGCUGGUCUGAGAGGACGAUCAGCCACACUGGGACUGAGACACGGCCCAGACUCCUACGGGAGGCAGCAGCUAGGAAUAUUGGACAAUGGGCGCAAGCCUGAUCCAGCCAUGCCGCGUGAGUGAUGAAGGCCUUCGGGUUGUAAAGCUCUUUAGUCCAUGAAUAUAAUGACUGUAGUGGAAGAAUAAGCCCCGGCUAACUUCGU
Molecule: ribosomal RNA, 433 nt
Filed under: uncultured bacterium
Lineage: Bacteria
Description: bacterial SSU rRNA
Rfam family: Bacterial small subunit ribosomal RNA
Source: RNAcentral